GACGAACGCUGGCGGCGUGCUUAACACAUGCAAGUCGAACGGAAAGGCCCUGCUUUUGUGGGGUGCUCGAGUGGCGAACGGGUGAGUAACACGUGAGUAACCUGCCCUUGACUUUGGGAUAACUUCAGGACACUGGGGCUAAUACCGGAUAGGAGCUCCUGCUGCAUGGUGGGGGUUGGAAAGUUUCGGCGGUUGGGGAUGGACUCGCGGCUUAUCAGCUUGUUGGUGGGGUAGUGGCUUACCAAGGCUUUGACGGGUAGCCGGCCUGAGAGGGUGACCGGCCACAUUGGGACUGAGAUACGGCCCAGACUCCUACGGGAGGCAGCAGGGGGGAAUAUUGCACAAUGGGCGGAAGCCUGAUGCAGCAACGCCGCGGGCGGGAUGACGGCCUUCGGGUUGUAAACCGCUUUCGCCGGUGACGAAGCGUGAGUGACGGUAAUGGGUAAAGAAGCACCGGCUAACUACGUG
RNAcentral lists this ribosomal RNA (468 nucleotides) under uncultured bacterium. RNAcentral's name for it is "partial 16S ribosomal RNA". It matches the Rfam family "Bacterial small subunit ribosomal RNA", at positions 28 to 507 of the family's 1533-position model. The record is from RNAcentral.